Molecule: non-coding RNA, 245 nt
Organism: Pelobates cultripes (western spadefoot toad)
Lineage: Eukaryota; Metazoa; Chordata; Amphibia; Anura; Pelobatidae
Source: the annotation of a GenBank genome assembly
AUCAAAUUCCGGCGUAUAGGCCACUUUAUCCGGCAGGGUAGGUCUCGGGCACUCUGCCCGCAUCCUCUUACGGAUGUGUUUUUCCAAAGGUUUCCUGAUCCAGAAAUGCAUGAAGCGGAGGAGAUUAUCCGGAGGGGCCCACUCACCCGAACGAGGGUGGCGAAUCUUCCUGGGAUCAAACAUUCUCUGGUCAGUGGAGUCCAGGAAUAUCUCCUGCUCCUGCGUGGCCGUGGCGGGGGGUUCCG